RNAcentral lists this ribosomal RNA (253 nucleotides) under uncultured bacterium. RNAcentral's name for it is "partial 16S ribosomal RNA". It matches the Rfam family "Bacterial small subunit ribosomal RNA", at positions 524 to 776 of the family's 1533-position model. The record is from RNAcentral.
UACGAAGGGUGCAAGCGUUACUCGGAAUUACUGGGCGUAAAGCGUGCGUAGGCGGUUUGUUAAGUCCGUUGUGAAAGCCCUGGGCUCAACCUGGGAAUUGCAGUGGAUACUGGCGAGCUAGAGUGCGGUAGAGGAUGGUGGAAUUCCCGGUGUAGCGGUGAAAUGCGUAGAGAUCGGGAGGAACACCCGUGGCGAAGGCGGCCAUCUGUACCAGCACUGACGCUGAGGCACGAAAGCCAGGGGAGCGAACGGG